Molecule: long non-coding RNA, 11459 nt
Filed under: Daphnia pulex (common water flea)
Lineage: Eukaryota; Metazoa; Arthropoda; Branchiopoda; Diplostraca; Daphniidae
Description: uncharacterized LOC124199529
Source: RNAcentral
UGCUUUAUCGCCUUAUCGGGUGCCGUAGGUUAAGGCUCUCCCCUGUUUUCAUUCUGACUGUAGUUAGUCGAGUUCUAGUCGGCCCCGGGCUCGGUCUGUGUUUUUUGUGUUUGAAAUUUGAACUAAAUUCGAGGUGAAGAACUUGCUUUCACGUAGAAUUUCAACUACGAAAAAUAUACGAGAAAGCAAACUUGAAUCUUCAAACUAAGUUAUUUGUUUCCAACAUUUAAUACGCGCCGUUUCCGACAUCUGAAAAUAGAAAAACAUAGAGGCUCCGGGCUCGGUCUGUGUUUUUUGUGUUUGAAAUUGUAACAAAAUUUGAGGAAAAAUCGCCUGAACGAAAAACAAGUGGAGAAAAAAUGCACGUUGACGGGGACACAAAGGGAGCCACUUGGUUACCGCCUCAGACAUCGACGGAGCAGCAAAAGCAGUUAAAACAAGACGCAGAGUUUUUUCUACUCUGGAAAAAUUUGGCUCAUUACACACUCAUACAUAUUGUCUACGAUGAAGGCCGUUUUCUCCUCUGAGCUCUCAUCCAUUUCAAUUUGCCAAUAUCCUGACGCUAAAUCUAGAGUCGAAAAAUAUUUUUGACCGUGAGCAAAUCGAGGACAUCAUCUAUUCGAGGUAACGGAAAAGAAUCCUUUUUCAUAAUACCGUUGAGUUUCCUAUAAUCCAUGCAGAGCCGGAUUCAUCCAUUUUUCUUUUUUACUAAUACUACUGGUGCCGCCCAUGGUGACACGGAGGAUCUUAUUAAUUUAUCAGCCAACAAUUCCAGAAUGAUACCGUCAAGCUCGUGCUUCUCGUUGUGAUGUAUCCGAUAGGGGCAUAAUCGAAUGGGCCCUUGUCCUUCUGUAUUAAUGUGGUGCUUUACUAACCCGGUCUUUCCUAGUUCCUCAGUUGAAGAUGCAAAUAUUGAUUUUGUAACAGUUGGUUACAGGAAGUAAAGACACGUACUCAGUGUAUGGGAGAACAACUUGUAUUGGGUAAGACACAGAUGUAAAUGUUACAUACAGUAACAGUUGUGGCAUACAGUCCUGCGGAGUCUUGGGUAGACUCCGCUUAAAUAGCAGUGUGAUGCUGAUGUGGCUGUGCCUACAAGGCACCGACUGGAGGUCAGUUUCCAGACGAUCCAGAUAGAAGAUGUUUCAGAAUAUGAUGUGACCAAAUCGCUGCAAAACAGUGCAUCAAUUUUGGACGACACACCAAAACUAAGCACGGUCCGCACAAAUGGAUGUUAAUAGCAGACCCCGAGGAAAACCCACUUACCCCAUUAAUGAUAAAAAACGUCGAUAAAAAUGAAUGCCUUACAACAGACAACAAUAACAACACAAUUUACUUAGCAUCCUGCAAUGCAAGCGCAUAUCAAUAUUACAUAUUUGAACACAUCCUCCCAGAAAACAGCUACUUCUAAUUCAAUUUGGCACAGGAAGCAACCAUUUCAGCAGACGGAUUCCUAGAAUUAAGAUCCAGUACUUUGUUAGCAGGAAGAUAUUUAAACCCCAGAAAGUGUAGCAGAGUCUCAGCAAGUGGAAGGACGCUCAUUCUGCAACAGUGCGUCACCAUCCCAGUAAAAAUCGAAGCGCGCCUAACCCAGUGUGGAUAUCAACCAUUCUUCCAGACACCUAACGCGAACUUCACAGUUGGCAAAGACGGUUGGUCUCUCCAUCCAUUUCAGGAUUGUUUUUGGAACAACAAAUAAGUUACUUUAAAUGACAUAACUUUUUCAUGGAUCAACGAUGAAUGGAUUAAAUAAGAACCAUCCAUUCACGUUGCAAAAAUAAAAUGAAUUCAAAAAUUUGAAGAAUUACCGAUCAAAGCAUACGAUUAUUUGCCGCAACAUCAUUCGAUGUAUGACGCAAACAAUCUAGAACAAAUGAACGUCCUAUCCGAACUCAUCGGUAGAAUUUCUAUGUCUAAUACUAACUCCUUAUCAGGUUUAGUACUACAUAACAAGUCCCGUUCAAAUUUCUGGGACAUGACUAGCUGGAUAGAAGUAAUAAAAUACGGAUUUCUCGCAUUAAUAAUAUUUUUACUGUCAACAAUCGUAUUAUGGAUAUGUUUUACUGUUGUCCCCUUUUAUAACAUUUUUGCUCUAUGUAAGAGAAAACGGAACCACGUUAAGACUGAACAAGAAAUUCCGUUAACUCAAAGAAAGUCUAGAAAAUCACGCUCUCAUCGUACAACAAAAAUGGACCCUGAAGAAGGUCUCUGUUGGGACGAUGGAUGUGUAAUCCAAAAGAUGGAAUCGUAAAAAUAAUUAAUGAAAACCGCAACCUCUUGUGAUGAUUGGAUCACAAUAUGCACUCACACUGAAGUUACACUUAUACUGAACUAACACUAACACAUAAACACUGAGUAGGUUAUAAGGAAACUUGUAUUUACCACUUGUUAGGGAGUACACUGCCGGGAUCACUCUGCCGGGAUGAGGCAGAGCGUGGGCUUUUAUACUUAGGGUUAGUUAUUGCAACAUAGGUACAGACACGUAUACAGUUGCACCAUCACCAGGAUGUGGUGGUGCAAGAAGAGAAAGAUGUUUGCCGGAUGGCGCAAUUGGCAUUGCAUCAUCCGAAGCAACCUAAGUAUCAAGGCUGAAAGCGCCUGCCUUGUCAUAAAAGGCUGACGGCUUUCACCUUGAGAGGCAAGGCUCCUGCCUCGCUACACUCUCGACCACCCACAUCCUUUAAAAUUUUUUGUCUUAAAUAGUCUUUAAGUAGAAAAUUAUUACAAAAUUUUCAAAUUUACAUUAUGUGACAAACAAAAAUCCAUUAAAUGUUCAAGGCUAUAUAUUGACUACACAAAUUCAAAUUGCUGUCCCUGUAGAAAAUGGCCAUUCCUCCAACUGCCAUUUAACCCGACGCACCUCUAUCAAAUCUUCAAACGGAUAUUGAAGCUGCUCCAUAAACAGUUCCGCAGUUCGAUCAUAAGGAUAGAAAAUAUCUUUGCCUGACUCCAUCCACCAUAGUAAUCUUGAACAACCGAAUGGAUAAAAAUUUCGAUAAAAGGCAUAGCUUUUGUAUCGACCAAAAAAACAUUUUACUUAAACAUGCAACUAACAAUAAAAUAAUAUUAUGUCUAAAAAUUUGUGAAAUGCUUACUGGUAAUAAUAAUCGUUGACAUGCACCACACUAAAAUGGUGCCGACAAGCCGGAUACAACAUCCCCGGGUCGACAGCGUCGAAACCUUCGAGGAACAGCACGCGAUGUCUAUCCUCUAACUUGCCCCAAAAGUUAUAACCCUGAAGAGCCGAAAGAGCGACAGAAAUACCACUGUCCACUUUGAGUUUUUGUUCCAAUAAAAUCUCUGGAGACAUCCAAAACCAACCUGACGGCGUAACUGGCAUGUUGCAGGAUUUAAAGACGAACAACAACUGAUCUUCACCUGCAAGCCGUUUCUUCUUUAAAAAGGGAAUGAAGGAGAAGAUGCACCCUAGCAACCAUAUAUCUAUGCCUAGUAUAAUUGUAGUAAAAAUGUAGAUGCAUAUUCUUCUGGUAAAGGAAAUUUAUGGGCAAAUUAAAAAAGAAAUAAAUAAAUAUUCUGUUGUGAUGAUUCACAAUAGUUCUCAAUAAACAAACAACGAGGAGGAGGCAGUGUUCUUGCAGUACUGUGUAUUAAAGUAGAUGUCGGGAUACAAUGCCGGGUACGACUCUGCUGGAUGAACAGAGUGUCGGGCUUUUAUAGACGGUUACCAAGGUUGUGGGGAUUGCACCAUCACUGCAGAGUGUGGCGCAAUCCCGGAUGUAGUUGCAUAGUUAACAGGUGAGAUGGUGCAAUAGAGAAACGCAUCAAGGUACUGCGUAGUAGAUUGACCUUGGGGUACUGCGUAGUAGAUUGCUCUAUACUACAAGCAGUAGGCCGAAUGUUACACAAGAAAUUACACUCCUCCCCCUUCCGCAGAAGUUUGGUCGGGGAAGGAAACUAUUUCUUUUAGUAUCAAUACAUACAAGGAAAUUUUCGAAUGCUGCUAAUUCUACUAUUUAAGUGUAUCUAGGUAUGAUAAAGUUGGAUACAGUGGAAAAUAUAAUGCCAUCACCUUAGGAUAAAUGUGAAUAAUAUUGGGGAUAAUACUGCAAUAAUAAAACAUUGCAUAAUAAUUUGAAUAGAAUAUAGGCAUAUGGAAUGCAUAAUAAUGUGAAUCGCAUAUAGGCAUAUGGAAUGCAUAAUAAUUUGAAUAAACAUAAGAAUUAAAAUGCGGCAGUAUAGUAGGAUGUCAAUGGAAUGGUUUAUUCAGUACUUACGAUUUGUGAAUACAUCCCGAGCCCGUUUCAAUUUUAGAGCCUGGAAUUCAUAUUUAUAAUAUAAAUCAAGGCUGUCUCGCAGAUACUGCUGGAUCAGUACCUCCCGCUGAGCGUUGUGCUCCCCUUCACUUUGUAACAUAAUUGGUGGGGCGUACAUGUUUUGGAAGUGUUGGGGUGGAUAAUAACAUGGAGGGGACGGUAAUGGGAUCCUCUCCAUUGGGGCCGAAUCUGGUUGUUCCUUUGUCGGCGGCUGUGGUGUUUGAUGAUUUAUGGGCGAGGCGGCUAACGGGACUGCACUGGGGACGUCUGGGUUUACCUCCGUGAUGUCGCUUCGUAUGUCGUCCUUGUCGUCCUCGUCGUCGCUGAUUGUAAGGUCGAUGAUGAGGGUCUGUUGGUUGGUCUGCUGCUUGGUAUGCUGGUCGGUCGUGACGUUUUCUUUUUCUAAAUCUUCAUCCAAUUCUAGGACGGGCUCGUCGUCUUCCAUCUCCUCUCCCCGUUCUUCUUCACUGUCAGUGGGCUCUUCCUUUAUUGGUUCAAUCACAAACCCUACCGACUCUUCGAUGCCCGGUAGAUAACGGGGGUCUGUUGUGAUUUCUACUUGUGCUUCGUUGUCGGAGAUUAUUCUUGCUGGAAUUCGUCUGAUUUUCGCUUGCACGUCUAGAACUACAAUUGUUCCUUUUCGGCCUUGAGCCGUAAGGGCAAAAGUCUUUUUUAGCACUGUUGAUUCUUCACACAUUGUAAACUAAAUUGUGAGUGUGGUACAGUGCGGUUUUCGCUGUUUUUAAAUACCACGGCUCUCUUUAUCUUGCAAAACAGGUCAAAAGAUAAUGCGCAAUACACGCGCAAACAUAAACACAAUUUCGUAGUGAAAACAUAUAUACAUGAUUUAUGUGGAUAGCUGGUUAAUUUGUUGGUAACGCGCUGGUACUGCGUUCGAGGAUUUUACCGGCUUCCAUUUCUAAAAUUUUCUUCUUAAGGAGUGGUUAAUGGGCGAACGGAGUUUUAUACGAAGGAAGAACGAUUGUAGCUCCAUUUGUCACAAUAUGGUGCUUGAUAGCUGUGGGUUUUCCAAGAUCCAGUAAUGUACUGGCAAACAUUGAAGUGAAUGAUAUCAACAGGUUUAAAAAUUUAACAUCCAGUGGUUUUCUUUAAUGACAUAUUUUUAUGUCAAAAUCUAGGUGAGGUUGAUCGACGAUACGAUAAAGUGGAAAUGAUUUUUUAGUGAUCCGGUUAAGCUCGAUUGUCUUUCCAUCCUGAUGAGUACCGAUUCUCAUUUCUUUGUUGAAAACAUCCAAAGAGAUUUCGUUGUUGUGUAAAAAGUCUAUUCCGAGGAUACACUCCUCCUCUAGUUUAGGUAUUACAUAGAAGACUUGAUUUAGUGUACACUCAGGUGAAAGUUUCACUCUUAAAUUAUACAUGCUUGUGAUUCGCCUGGUUUCACCACUUGCGCUAUUCUGAAGACUCGAUCCUUGAUGUUGACGAUAUCGGGAUUGAUUGAUUCGUCGGGGAUGGUAGCUAGGUACUCAUCAGAAAUAAAGCUGGCAGAAGCUCCGGUAUCGAUUAAUGCAAAUUUAAUAAUGUUAUGGAAUACUACUGGGACACGUAAAAGACUAUAAGAUUUGUGUUUGUAAUUUAUUUCGCGGGUCGACGCAGUCGUUUUGGGUCUUUUUCGAAGUGUUCAAAAUUUUCACAGCGAUGGCAUUCAAUAUUUUGAGGGUCGUUAUUCCUGCUGUUGGAACGCGAAGAUGCGCCUGGUGUAUUUGGUUUAUUGGCAGGGCUUUUGGGGCGUUGAUUGUAUUUUUGUUGUGGUGCCUGUGGCUGUGGUUGGUAGUAUCAGUGGAAGAGUUUGGAUAUUGUCGGUCUCUGCUUUGGGAGCGGUAUCGUUGCUCGGAGUUUGGGUAAUUGUUGGUGUUGUGGGACCAACGGACGGCAGUGUUGGGCUGGUUACGUUGUGGUGGUCUUCCGCGUUGAUUGGGUCCCAUGUAGAAGAUGGUGUAAUCUGUAGUUUCUGGUGACUCUCCUAUAAAAUUUAUUUUACUUAGUUUGGAUUAUGGAUUGUAAUUCCUCUAUUUGUUUGUGUUGUUGUUGUAGGGCCGUGGCUGCUAGGGUAUCAAUAUUGGAACUGGUGAAGGUGGGUAGUUCUAGUACUCCAUUGCUUGUUUGCGUUUUGUACAGAGUAGUCUCACAUCGCAAUGCCGCUCUUUGUGCGUCAUCCCAAGUGGUGACUUCUGGUAACAUUUGGUUCAAAACCAUAAGAGUCUUUAUUGGUUUCAGGACUCCUCGUAGGAGAAUUUUGACGAGUAAAUCAUUCUUGAUUGAUAAAUUGUAAUUACCCGUGUCGCCGUAGAUAGCGUUGUAUGUGCUGUUUAUCUUGUCGAUAAACAUUGUAACGGAUGGUUACGGAGGGUUAAAGAUGAUGAACUAAGAUGACGAUUGUAGGAGAAUGCACUUUGAAUUUAGAGUACUAGCAAUAACAUGCUUACACGUUAAUACAUGAGAUGCGAAUGGUAUACAAUGCGUGUGCGAACUCUGAUGGAGUCGUGCUUAUAUACCUACGAAUGUGGGCAGGUUAUAACUGGCAGCUUUCUAUGAUAUUAGAAAGUCUAAGAUCUUAUAGCCUAGACACGCGAUCAUGUCGUUAAAGAUGAAUUAGUUAUCAGUACCGAGGCUGAGCUCGUUCUUGAUACUAAUCGCCUUAUGGCGAUUGCUCCCAUUACAUUCCUUCCCUUUUUAAAGAAGAAUGAUAACUAUGAUAGGGGUAACAACAGAAUAUUUUUUUUUAAAUUUGCCCAUAGUUUUCCUUUACCAGAAGAAUAUGCAUCUACAUUUUUACUAUAAUUAUACUAGGCAUAGAUAUAUGGUUGCUAGGGUGCAUCUUCUCCUUCCUUCCCUUUUUAAAGAAGAAACUGCUUGCAGGUGAAGAUCAGUUGUUGUUCGUCUUUAAUUCCUGCAACAUGUCAGUUACGCCGUCCAGUUGGUUUUCGAUGUCGCCAGAAAUUUUAUUGGAGAAAAAGCUCCAAGUUGACAGUGGGCUUUUUGUGGCUCUUUCGGCUCUCGAGGGUCAUAACUUUUGGGGAAAGUUAAAGGAUAGGCAUCGUGUGCUGUUCCUGGAAGGUUUUGACGCUGUCGAACCGGGGAUGCUGUAUCUGGCUUGUCGGCAUCAUUUCAGUGCGGUGCACGUCAAUGAUUUUUAUUAUAAGUAAGAAUUUUACAAUUUUGUAUGCAUAAUAUGAUUUAAUUGUUAGUUUUUUGUUUAAUUAUUGUUUUUUUUUAGUCGAUACAAAGGUUAUGCUUUUUAUCGGAACUUUUAUCCAUUUGGGUGUUCAAGACUAUUGUGGUGGAUGGAAUCGGGAAAGGAUAUUUUCUAUCCUUUUAACGGGAAUGCGGAAUUGUAUAUGGAGCAGCUUCAAUAUCCAUUUGACGAUUUGAUAGAGGUGCGUCGCGUUAAAUGGCAGUUGGAGGAAUGGCUUGUUAAUAAUUGAUUUUUAUUUCAUUUAGAAUACUGAAUGGGGUAUCUUAUUUUGUGUGAGCCAAUUUGAAUUUGUGUAGUCAAUAAAUAGUUUUGAAUUUUUAAUGGAUUUUUGUUUUGUGUUAUUUAUUUAUUUAUCUAUUUUUUUUUAGUGUAAUUUUGAAAGUUUUUAAUAAUUUUCUACUUAAAGACUAUUUAAGACAAAAAUUUUCAAGAAUGUGGGUGGUAAAAAGAAUGCGGUUGUCUUUAAUUAUUUUUACGAUUCCAUCUUUUGGAUAACACAUCCAUCGUCCCAACAGAGACCUUUUUCAGGGUCCAUAUUUUUUGUACGAUGAGAGUGUGAUUUUCUAGAUUUUCUUUGAGUUAACGGAAUUUCUUGUUCAGUCUGAACGUGUUUCCGUUUCCUCUUACAUAGAGCAGAAAUUUUAUAAAAGGGAACAACAGUAAGACAUAUCCAUAAUACUAGUGUUGAUAGUAGAAAUAUUAUUAAUGCGAGAAAUCCGUACUUUAUUAUUUCAAUCCAGCUAGUCAUGUCCCAGAAAUUGGAACGUGACUUGUCAUCUAGUACUAACCCUGAUAAGGAGUUAUUAUUAGACAUAGAAAUUCUACCGAUGAGUUCGGAUUGUUCCGUUCAUUUGUUCUAGAUUGUUUGCGUCAUACAUCGAAUGAUGUUGCGCAAAUAAUCGUAUGCUUUAAUUGGCAAUUCCUCAAAUUUUUGAAUUAAUUUGAUUUUGGCAACGUGAAUUGAUGGUUCUUGUUUAACCCAUUCGUCGUCGAUCCAUGAAAAAGUUAUUUCAUUUAAAGUUACAUAUUUGUUGUUCCAAAAACAAUCUUGAAAAGGAUGGAGGGACCAACCGUCUUUGCCAACUGUGAAGUUUGCGUUUGGUGUCUGGAAAAACGGUUGAUAUCCGCACUGGGUGAGACGUGCUUCGAUUUUAACUGGGAUGGUCAUGCACUGUUGUAGAAUAAGUGUCCUUCCGCUUCCUGAGACUCUACUACACUUUCCGAGGUUUAAAGAUCUUCCUGCUAACAGAAUUUGUCUGAGUGUUUGUUUGUCUGAGCCAAAAUCAUUGCCUGGUUUCUUUGUAGUGUAGUGAUUCUGCAGUAAAGUUGACGUACUUCAUUAGCCAGUUGUGUUUCGUGUUUUAUCGCUUGUGCUCCCACGAAUUGUUGAUUUUCUAUUGAGAGAAUUUCACGGUCUUCGUUUGAUAGCUUAAGCACAUUUGGCGCGUCGCUACUUAUUGGUUGAGUUUGGUUUUGUGGGAAUAGUCCUGUGUUUUGUUGUGUUCUUGUUUCAAUAAUUUUUGGUUUUCGUCUGUUUACUCUGUCUGAUCGGUCUCGUUUUUGUUUGAGCUCUUUUAUUGUUGGAAUGUAUUCUAAGGGGAAAGGGUAAGUGAUGACGUUGUGUUGAAAGUCCCACUGUUGGUUUUUAUUCGUUGAUUUGCAUGGUGCCAUUUCGAUUGUUGAAUCGUUGAUUACUGUUAGACAUUUUAAGGUUGAGCUGUCUGUUAAUGUGAAUAGGCCUAAAUCGUAGUUCCAUUUAGCUGCUGCUAUGUUUGAAUCUGAGCAAAUUACUGUUAUUAGAGGUGUAACGCAAGAAGUUGUACCUAGCAGGGUAAGCGUUUUAUUGUAAUAAGAAAAUUCUUGCUGUGGGUAAACAGUUUUAAAAAUACUUGUUUUACAUAAUUUAAUUGUUAUACUGUUAUCUUCCAAGCUGGAUAGACAGUAUUCAGGAAAUAAACGAGAAAAUAUGUUGCCGUAAAAUUGUGGUGCGUGCCCAAAUGGGUUAUUGAGCGUAUUGCAUCUGAAUUCUAAGAAUCCGUUUGCUGAAAUGGUUGUUUCCUGUGCCAAAUUUAAUUCGAAAUAGCUGUUUUCUGGGAGGAUGUGUUCAAAUAUAUAAUAUUGAUAUGCGCUUGCAUUGCAUGGUGCUAGGUAGAUUGUGUUAUUGUUGUUGUCUGUUGUAAGGCAUUCAUUUUUAUCUACGUUUAUAAUCAUUAAUGGGGUAAUCGGGUUUUCUUCGGGGUCUGCUGUUAGCAUCCAUUUGUGCGGACCGUGCUUAGUUGUGGUAUGUCGUCCAAAAUCGAUGAAUUGUUUUGCGGCGAUUUGGUCGGGUUCCCAUGCGUGGAGACAGUAGUCUUCUUCCGUAGCCAGAAUGUAGCCUGACUCCAGAAAUUGAAAACUUUGUCCGCGAUCCACAGUAUUUGCAUACAGGGCACGAUCAGUAAGAUUUCCUGAAAUUGCACAAAUUUCAGCGGACAUUUUUGUAAUCUCAACUCUUUCAACUCUUUUCUGAAAUGAUUUCGAUGUGGGUGUCUGGUAUUCCCAUUACUGUAAAUGCCGUUACAUUGUUGCAUAGUCGCGUGAUGUUGUUGUUCAAAAUUAUUUCUAUUUGCGAGUUGGCAUCUUGUAAUUUGGAUUGUUUAAUUCCGUCAGUGAGGUUACCACUUCCCGUAAAAAUAGUUUUGAUGUCGCAGUCUGGCUCCUGACUUGAGUCUGGCUUUUUCCAUACGAUUGUUAAAUCGUUAUGUUUGGCGAAUUCUGCGUCGCUUGAAUUGGCUAAAAUUCCAAAUGGUGAUGUUACUUAACAGUCGUGGCAUUGUUUAGUCAGUUUGAUAAUUUGUGUGAUGCAGCUCUUUGCUUUGUAUGAUUGAGUGGUCAUCCAAUAUCCUUCGCCUUCUGGUUCUAGUAAGGAUUUAAGCGUAUUUCCAUCUUUUGUCAUUGGAUUUGUGUCACUUAUUUCCGGGUACUGUGCAGACGCCCAGCAAUCAUUGGCGCUGACUUUAAGCACUUGUUUCUUAAAAGUUGUGUCAUGUGACAACAAAAAGUUUGUGGAGAUUUCUUUUUGAGACAGCCAUUGUGUGCAAGCGUAGCCUGUCCAUGUUAUGGGGUCCUUGUUUUUCGUCCAUAAUUUAUAUUGUACUUUCUUUGGUUUACUUACAGGUUCUGGGUGGGAACAGUAUAGUGGAUCUUCUAGAUCGAUGAUACCUUUUUCGAUUGGCUGAGAACAAUUACACGUGUCGAUUGUUAGGGUAGAUGAAAGAGAUGCGAAGAGUAGAAUUAGUAGAACGGAAGAAUACAUCUGUAAAGAGAAUGUAAUUCUUAUUGUGGUAAACGUAUUGUUUUUCGCAAAUUAUAAGUAUGAGGAGUAGGGAUUAUGGUAGAGUUAGGUGCUGUAGGAUUCUUUCGUGGCCUACCCCUUCUUCGUUUUAUCAUACCCUGAGGCUCCUCAGGUAACACUACUGGGGUUGUUAUCUCAUUUGUUUCUGCUGGUGCUGUUUGAAUUACGUUUUCGACAGUGGUUUCGGUGUUUUGUUGUACUUCUGUGUUGGCACCAUUUAUGGGUUCAACUGCGUCACUUGCGUUGGCUAUAGUAGGUUGGUGGCCAGCAGUUGCAUUAUUUUCAUUGUUUUCAGGAUCGUUUGUUGAUGAUUUUGCAGUAUUUUCUCUUUCUGGCGUUGAAGGUGUUGUAGUGGUUGGUUCUUCUUUGUCGGUGUUUGAGUUCUCGGUCUCGGUGUCUGAAUUUUCGUUGUUAAAUGUUGUUUCACCUCUCCACUUUCGCAUUCUGUUUACGUGUACAACUACCGGAUACGUAUCGUCUUGGUGGCGUAUUAAAUAGUUUAGGUUAGACAGUUUUUCAAUGACUACAUAUGGUCCGUUCCAUCUCAUUUUGAAUUUACCUUUUUGAGCCUUUAAUAUCUUUAAAAGCACUACGUCGUUUGGCUCGAAAGAACAUUCUUGGAGGUUACGGUCGUAGU